GCCCUCGUUGUCUAAUGGUUAUGACGUCAGACUUCUACUCUUCGACUUGGAAAUCUGGAGGCUGUGGGUUCGAGUCCCACCGGGGGUA
This is a non-coding RNA of Cristinia sonorae, 88 nucleotides long. Lineage: Eukaryota; Fungi; Basidiomycota; Agaricomycetes; Agaricales; Stephanosporaceae. The record is from the annotation of a GenBank genome assembly.